This 892-nucleotide ribosomal RNA is filed under the name uncultured bacterium. RNAcentral describes it as "bacterial SSU rRNA". It matches the Rfam family "Bacterial small subunit ribosomal RNA", at positions 1 to 946 of the family's 1533-position model. The record is from RNAcentral.
UAGAGUUUGAUCCUGGCUCAGAACGAACGCUGGCGGCAGGCCUAAUACAUGCAAGUCGAACGCCGUAGCAAUACGGAGUGGCAGACGGGUGAGUAACGCGUGGGAAUCUUCCUAAUGGUACGGAAUAGCCCGGGGAAACCCGGAGUAAUACCGUAUACUCCCGUGAGGGGAAAGAUUUAUCGCCAUUAGAUGAGCCCGCGUCGGAUUAGCUAGUUGGUGGGGUAAUGGCCUACCAAGGCAACGAUCCGUAGCUGGUCUGAGAGGAUGAUCAGCCACACUGGGACUGAGACACGGCCCAGACUCCUACGGGAGGCAGCAGUAGGGAAUAUUGGACAAUGGGCGAAAGCCUGAUCCAGCCAUGCCGCGUGAGUGAUGAAGGCCUUCGGGUUGUAAAGCUCUUUUGGCGGGGACGAUAAUGACGGUACCCGCAGAAUAAGCCCCGGCUAACUUCGUGCCAGCAGCCGCGGUAAUACGAAGGGGGCUAGCGUUGUUCGGAAUCACUGGGCGUAAAGCGCACGUAGGCGGACUUUCAAGUCAGGGGUGAAAUCCCGGGGCUCAACCUCGGAAUUGCCUUUGAUACUGUAGGUCUCGAGUCCGGAAGAGGUGGGUGGAAUUCCUAGUGUAGAGGUGAAAUUCGUAGAUAUUAGGAAGAACACCGGUGGCGAAGGCGGCCCACUGGUCCGGUACUGACGCUGAGGUGCGAAAGCAUGGGGAGCAAACAGGAUUAGAUACCCUGGUAGUCCACGCCGUAACGAUGAUGACUAGCUGUCGGGGGCCAUGGGCUUUCGGUGGCGCAGCUAACGCAUUAAGUCAUCCGCCUGGGGAGUACGGCCGCAAGGUUAAAACUCAAAGAAAUUGACGGGGGCCUGCACAAGCGGUGGAGCAUGUGGUU